Molecule: ribosomal RNA, 253 nt
Filed under: uncultured bacterium
Lineage: Bacteria
Description: partial 16S ribosomal RNA
Rfam family: Bacterial small subunit ribosomal RNA
Source: RNAcentral
UACGGGGGGGGCAAGCGUUGUUCGGAAUUACUGGGCGUAGAGGGCUCGUAGGCGGCCAACUAAGUCAGACGUGAAAUCCCUCGGCUUAACCGGGGAACUGCGUCUGAUACUGGAUGGCUUGAAUCCGGGAGAGGGAUGCGGAAUUCCAGGUGUAGCGGUGAAAUGCGUAGAUAUCUGGAGGAAUACCGGUGGCGAAGGCGGCAUCCUGGACCGGCAUUGACGCUGAUGAGCGAAAGCUAGGGGAGCAAACGGG